AUCGAGCUAGUGUAAUGGUAGCACAGGAGUCUCCAAAACUUCUAGUCUGGGUUCAAAUCCUAGGUUCGGUG
Molecule: transfer RNA, 71 nt
Filed under: Bacillus phage Moonbeam
Lineage: Duplodnaviria; Heunggongvirae; Uroviricota; Caudoviricetes; Herelleviridae
Rfam family: tRNA
About the family: Transfer RNA (tRNA) molecules are approximately 80 nucleotides in length.
Source: Rfam by way of RNAcentral